AGAGUUUGAUCAUGGCUCAGGAUGAACGCUGGCGGCGUGCUUAACACAUGCAAGUCGAACGGAGUGCUCAUGACGGAGGAUUCGUCCAACGGAUUGAGUUACUUAGUGGCGGACGGGUGAGUAACGCGUGAGGAACCUGCCUCGGAGUGGGGAAUAACAGACCGAAAGGCCUGCUAAUACCGCAUGAUGCAGUUGGGUCGCAUGACUCUGACUGCCAAAGAUUUAUCGCUCUGAGAUGGCCUCGCGUCUGAUUAGCUAGUUGGCGGGGUAACGGCCCACCAAGGCGACGAUCAGUAGCCGGACUGAGAGGUUGACCGGCCACAUUGGGACUGAGACACGGCCCAGACUCCUACGGGAGGCAGCAGUGGGGAAUAUUGGGCGAUGGGCGCAAGCCCGACCCAGCAACGCCGCGUGAAGGAAGAAGGCUUUCGGGUUGUAAACUUCUUUUCUCAGGGACGAAAUAAAUGACGGUACCUGAGGAAUAAGCCACGGCUAACUACGUGCCAGCAGCCGCGGUAAUACGUAGGUGG
RNAcentral lists this ribosomal RNA (530 nucleotides) under uncultured bacterium. Its description in RNAcentral is "bacterial SSU rRNA". It matches the Rfam family "Bacterial small subunit ribosomal RNA", at positions 8 to 534 of the family's 1533-position model. The record is from RNAcentral.